This is a long non-coding RNA of Alnus glutinosa, 624 nucleotides long. RefSeq lists it as uncharacterized. NCBI's taxonomy places the organism in Eukaryota, Viridiplantae, Streptophyta, Magnoliopsida, Fagales, Betulaceae. The transcript has 4 exons. The record is from RefSeq and is a predicted model, not a curated record.
UGCUGUUCUUGUAGGGGUUAACGGCAUCGUAAGUGUUUGUUAAAAUGCUCAAGUGACCAAGCAGAGAGAGAAGGCUUUCGACCAUUGAGUUUUUCAUUACUAAUUGCCAUGUUGCUGAUCGUUACAGAUUUUUGAAUCAUUACAAAAAGGUGUUAAAUUGCAUAUUGUUAGAGGUGAGGUGAGGACUUAAGAAGCUAAUAUAUCUCAUCGAGGGUGACAAAAUUAUUCUGAAGCUGCUGAGAGCAUCAAAAUAGCGGUUUCAAAUCAAGCAAUUUCGAAUGAAGAAUGGGUGGGCAAGUGUACUCACAACGAUUUUCCCAAUAUCAUAGGAGGAGGGCACUGGCGCAUGAGAGGAGAUGCUUAGAAGGCAGAGCAAAGAUGUGAGAGUCCAAUUGCUAAUUCCCUCGUACCAGACAAGGAUUCAUAGGUCUUGAUUCUUGAAGCUUAUUUUUAAUGAAAGCCAAAGCAAUAAGCAAUUCUUUGGUUAUAGUGAAUGAGAGUGGCAGUUUACGUGUUGUAGAAAAAGUUUUUGAAUGUUAAUUAAAGUUCUGUAUAUUAGUCAAGACUUGGACUUUUUUCACAUUCUUUAAUGAAAUGGUCGGAAAAGACAUGUUGAUAACCCAA